RNAcentral lists this small RNA (83 nucleotides) under Kaistella chaponensis. RNAcentral's name for it is "Chryseobacterium chaponense Flavo-1 RNA". Lineage: Bacteria; Pseudomonadati; Bacteroidota; Flavobacteriia; Flavobacteriales; Weeksellaceae. The record is from RNAcentral.
AUUGCGACCCGGCUUAAGCGGAAAUCCUUUUUUGUGGAGCAAGGCGGAACAAAAAAGAUUGGGAGCGGAAGACGGAAAUUUGU